AGUAGAUGCCUGUGCUGCUGCAGUCUGUCCUUCCCAUCCUCUCUUCUUUAUUCCUGUUUGCUCAAAAGUCUCCUGCUAAAAAUCCCCCAGCUGUGACACACCAGCCCAUCUCUUAGAUCCCACUGAUUUCAUGUCUCUCUCAGUCUCCAUGUAAAUCUCCCUAUCUUUCCCUUCAAUGUCCUCUGUAAGUUACUUUGCCUUUAAUCUCAUUCUUCCCACUCCUCUUAUUCUCCUAGUCAUCUCUUUCUGCUCAUUUUAUCUUGUUCUUGGAUGGUACAAUCUUGCUUUUUUUCUUCAUACUCCUCAGACCUCAAUCCAUCUCCCAUUUUCUGUUCACCAAACACUUUUCUUCUUGUUCUGUCAACUCUACCUUAAAUCUCUUUUUCUUCUUUGCUGGCACUAGCAUACCACAUGCCCUCAUGCAGAGUCAUCUGAACUGCUGUCCCAUGUGGUUUUCCUGGAGUGCAUGUUCUUCACACGGAAUUUGUGGUUCUCCUACAGUGCACACCCCACAAGGAUACAAACACACAAGGGUCUUUUGAAGAACAGCAGUUGUUGGUAAGUAACCAUGCAUUAUUAAUCCCAUUGCUUACAUGACACACAGAAAACUUUCUCUAGCUAGCUAAUAAGAGGAAUCGUUUCUGUUGAUGUGAGGGCACACUUUGAAUGCUCCAACUAGGUAAAUGCAUAAACAUGAGUGUUAUUUAAACUUAGAGUGACUGAAACUUCCUAUAGGUGGCAAAGACAUAUGAGGGACAGUCUAUUAGAAGAGGUUUGGGGUCUCACUUCUACAUUGUUUUGCACCAGCACAUCAUCAGUGACUGCAUUCAAGUUGCCUUUAACAUCUUUACAUUCCUGCACAUGACAAAUAAUAGGGACUAGUUCCCACAGAGCAGAGGAAAUACAGUAACAAGUGUCUCACAUCCAUUUCUCAAAUGUCUUCAAAUAGCUUUUAUUCAUGGCAUAGCACAAGUGUCAGCCAACUGGCAAAGGCAGCCUAUAUUAAAAAUGCUGGGGAUUAUUCAGGUCAACAGACACAAGGGAGCUUUUCUCAGUCAGUGGAUCUGCACUAGAAGUGGUACAAAAAUGCAACAGAUUCUGUACAGUAAUCUCAAAUCUGAAUAACUUUAGAAGGAGACCAUCAGCAGAUUGCCAUUUCUAAGUUAAAUUUAAAAAUUAAUCUAGCGCAGUUAGACGAGAGCUUGGAUAGGUGAGAGGUUUAACUGUGUGGUUAGAUAGAAAAGGCUAUACCAUAAAGAUGGUAUCUAGAAAGACUGAGGUGAUACUUUUUAAAAAAUGCUUAGAUUGAAGAUGGUCUGGAGGUUGUGAGCUGAUGGUGGCUCUUCAGGUUUGCUUCUGAUUACCCAAUUAUCUGUUAGGUCCUUAGCCUGUUUGAUUGCAGGCAUAUCCUGCACUGUUCCAAGUAUAAUUUCUGUGGGCCAUGUGAUUUUUCUUUUAUGGCUGAGGUGCAAUUUAGAAAUGGAUGAAUUCUUUCUCCUUUUAAAAGCUUAAAAGUUAACAGCCAUGUUUAGCCCAGUUUAACUGAAAAUAAUGUUUAUUAAAUGAUUGAGACUUUUAAUAGGAAAAAAAUAAAAUGGGCACAAGCAGUAAGAUUGCUUAUCUUUAAAAACAUCAUGUAAAGGUGGAAAAGGAUAGACGUUUCAGAUGUGUCAGGUUAACUAUUAAGGACAAUUCCCUGAUUAGUAUUUUGAUUCCCACUAUAUUUGCAGAAGACUACUAUAUUCUGUCAUUUUGUAUUUCGAAAUGGUUGCUUUUAAAACAUAUGGCCUGCUUCUUUUUCUGCUUGAUUAUUUUUGACUAAUUUAGUUGUCUGAACACUGUGAUGUUAUGUGGACAUGAAAUCAGGAACAAUUUAAGUGGAAAAUAAAAAAUUAAGCCCUAUGCAAGCCAUCAUGAGUAAGGUGACCUGAUCUGCUCUGACACAGAUCUAUGUCCCACUUAUGCUUUGGAAAACUUUGGAUACUGUAUUUUGUCAGAACCUAAUUUCUGUGCAAAUGUGUGAUGCAGAAGAAACCCAACCAGCAAAACCCUCAGAUGAAUCCCAUGACAUCUCCUUGACAACAUAUAGAUGCACAGUCUGUUACAUACAUCCUUACUGGCAGACUGACUGCUCCUAGCUUUUUCCCACUCUGAGCUGAAAGGCAGACUGACCAACAGGCUGCAGAGGAUGUUGCUGGGAUUUAAAUGUGGAAGCUGAAGAUCAUGUUUCAUUCAGGGUAAACAGGGGCAAAUGGAGCAGCCUGACAGAAGAGGUGAGCCUUGCACCACAGCUUCCCUUGCUGAGGCUGCUCUGUCAAGAAAAGGAAUGGGCACUGGGAGGUUCAACUGAGUCUGAAAAUUCAUGUGGAGGACCUUUGCAGAGCUCUGAAAGUCUUGCCAAAAGCUUGUCAGUGUGACUUACUAGCAUAAUGAGGUCAGUUGAAAGCUUUGUCCUGGACAGCAGGGUGCAAGGGUGGCAGUGCUGAGGAGCACCAGACUUCACGGAAGGUGGCAUCUAUGCACAAUGGCACCCAGGAGCCUUAGCUCAUCAAAGGAAAGAAAAAGAAGCCUUUGCAGAAUCUGAAGAUAUUGUAAUACAUUCUGCAGUUUCCUGGAUUUUAUGCUGCCUCUUGUAAGUGUUACAAUAUCAUUUCCAGUCCGUGGAAAACAGAACUGUACGAAAUAUGAUGACUGUGCGAUUUCUCUUAUCUUGGAGUAAAUACAGGGUUUAUGCUUUCCCUCCUAUUAAGGUAUUUUGGAAAAUGAAACACAGACAAAGCAAGAUCUUGCUCAGAAUUAGUGUGAGGGCCAUCUAUUCUGGUACUUCAAAAAUACGGUUUAGAAAUGGGAUCUCUUACUGCCUCUGCCUGGGCAGCAUUCUCAUCUUCCAGAAUGAUACACUGGUGGGAUGAAGUCCUAGAGCUAGGUUUUUCUCAUAGGAGCACAGAAAAUAUGGCAGGUUUAUGGACAGUGUUCCAUUAAAAAUCCUCUAAAGCAGCUGUUUAUCUCUUUAAAAUAAAAUUUAAAAAAAAAAAAAAAACCAGAAAAAUUGUGAGUCCUAUCAGCUUUUUACUCUUAAUCCUAGUCUAGAGCCUAUGAUUCGUGAAUGGUCACAAUAUAGUUAAAGAGUCAGUCUUAGGUCACCUGAAUAAACUUUACAACAUCUAGCCUCAAGGAGAGGAGCAGUGUAAUCCAAAUGACAGAGCUCUGUAUCCGCUGGCUGCAAACCUGCCUGGCUCCUCAUUUGGGUCUGGUGCUCCAUGGAGAGCACCACACAUACCAAGCUGCCUUGGUAUUCCUGUUUGAAUUACCUAAAAGCUGAUUGCAAUAUACCUGGGUCACCUUUAGCGUUUACACAGCCAUGGAUAGAAUCUGAAAGCAUAUAAUGCAGUCCCUUCCGCCAGGUACUGCUCUUGUCUAUGCACUUCCCACAGAAAGUGAAGUGUGGGAGGAAUCACCUGUCCAUACUCCCUAGGGGAAGAAAUGCCAUCUCCAUGAUUUAUGGGCAUUAUGCAGUCCAAGUGUGAGUGCUCCAAGGACCAGGCACACAGGACAGGACAAAGCUUUCAACAUUCAAGAAAAAAGUGCAGUUACUCCCACAAGCAUGUUUAUAUUAGAGGAAGUGUCUUCCAUCCAACACAAUCAAUUAACUUUUGUUUUUUUCUGUCCACUGCUGCUAUCCAGGUGUGGCAAGAGUAGCCUCUCAGUUCUCAGCAUUCUGGGUUGUUUCAUCAAUAGAUGUUCUCAGGAUACCAGAAACCGAGAUGUCUCAUUUAGCACCUUAAAAUUUUGUAGACAACCAAG
Molecule: long non-coding RNA, 3804 nt
Organism: Parus major (Great Tit)
Lineage: Eukaryota; Metazoa; Chordata; Aves; Passeriformes; Paridae
Exons: 3
Source: RefSeq, a predicted model, not a curated record